GUCCAGGAAGAAGUGUUCAAGUAGAGACACUCAUCAUUUUGGUGUCAAUAUAAUGCCAAGUCAAGACCAGAGCUCUCAUGGUUAUGCCAUGACUCAUUCUGUAGGUAAUGCUUUUGUUGCUGGGAAUUGAACCCAGAGACUCCUGUGUGAUAAUUGUGUGCUCUACUAUUGAGUCCCACAACCAGCCUACAGCUCUGAUGAAUGAUGAAUUAUGUCCAGAGAUCCAUGUUCAAGACCUGGCUCUGUCAUGUACUGAAUUCAAUGAAUUUUCUCAUCAUUCCUAA
RNAcentral lists this long non-coding RNA (284 nucleotides) under Cricetulus griseus (Chinese hamster). Its description in RNAcentral is "lncRNA (ENSCGRG00000025718.1)". Lineage: Eukaryota; Metazoa; Chordata; Mammalia; Rodentia; Cricetidae. The record is from RNAcentral.